CUCCUGGGGUGCAGGAAAGGCACAUACCUGAUUGAGAUGGUACAGGUAUCUGGUAAGACACCAGAGCCCACAGCAGUUGCAUCUGAACGCACCUCUUGACCAUGUACCGCGCUGCUGGGAUCAGGGAGGUUCAGGCCACGAAGACCGAGUGGGAGAUACAGAGAGAAGAUACACUGGUGUUUUGCCCGCACAUAUGUCUGGAUGAGGGUGUUGGAUCCACUGAAACUGGAGUUACAGACGGUUGUGAACUGCCAUGUGGGUGCUGGGAAUUGAACCCGGGUCCUCUGAAAGAGCAACCAGUGCUCUUAACUGCUGAGUCAUCGCUCCAGCCCCCAUUAUUUAUUUUUUAAGGUUAAAAAAAAAGAAGAGUCUGUCUGGUUGUUCAGCAACCAAAGCCUGAAGGCCUAGCCCAAGAGGAUGAAAAGAAGAAGAAAAAUGACUUUUAAUGUUCUGGUCAUUGUCCUCCAAAGGCAUCAGGGAAUUAGAGGACUUGGCUAGAAGAGCCCUGCAUUUCUGAAUUCAACACACCUGGCCAGGACAACUCCUGAGGAAACUUCUCCAGACGGCUUUAGACUGCCUUGGCUCCUAAAGCUCCCUUCUUAAUUCUGCUUUGUGCUUUGGGCUCUUGUUUUGGCUCUCUGGGUACUAUUGAUGUCCUUCAGAUUGCAAGCCAAUUGAGUUCCAGAUGGCAUUUUCUCAUGGAUAACAGCCAUCAAGACCUGUCUCCUACCAUCAAGGACCUCUCGGUCUCCAAAUGGUGUCACAGUGUGGCCUUCCACACCUUAUGUUAACGACCCCCUCCCAUUUCCAGCAUGCCUUUUGGGCCUUCUAUGCAUUGUGGUUCUGGAACCAUGAUGAUGAAUCAGCAAUGCUUCCCCUUCCCCUGAAGCCCCUCCAGAAGUGAGAUUUGUGUCCCUUGUCAAUGAUUUGUUUGACCUUGUUGAUCUACCAGGGGCUAGAAUGGGG
Long non-coding RNA from Peromyscus californicus insignis, 966 nucleotides. RefSeq lists it as uncharacterized. The transcript is spliced from 3 exons. The record is from RefSeq and is a predicted model, not a curated record. NCBI's taxonomy places the organism in Eukaryota, Metazoa, Chordata, Mammalia, Rodentia, Cricetidae.